UCAUAAAGUGCAGACAGGCAUCAUGGGUACAGUUCUCAUCACACUGUCAGCCAUACUAUUGUGUUUCAUAGGUUCUGCUGUUUGCAAUGUUCUCCAGGUUCCUCCUGAUCUCAUAAAGAAUAAGAAAGAGGAUGCCGAGAUCAAAUGUGCACACACUGUAACAAGCUAUGACCGAAUACUGUGGUACAAACAAGAUCAAACCACAGGAUUUAAGCUCAUGGGCUACCUCUAUACUGAUAGUAAGAAAAAAGAGACUGGAUAUGAGAACAAGAUUGAACUGAGUGGUGAUGGGAGGAAUAAUGCUACUUUGACUAUAAAAAGUCUCUCAGUGAACGACAGUGGUGUGUAUUUCUGUGCAGCAUAUUACACAGUGCUGUAGAUUCCCUCACUUCACUACAAAAACCUUCAUCUGAUCUACUUUACCACCAACACACAACACCUGCA
Molecule: non-coding RNA, 444 nt
Organism: Astyanax mexicanus (Mexican tetra)
Lineage: Eukaryota; Metazoa; Chordata; Actinopteri; Characiformes; Acestrorhamphidae
Source: the annotation of a RefSeq genome assembly